RNAcentral lists this ribosomal RNA (468 nucleotides) under uncultured bacterium. RNAcentral's name for it is "partial 16S ribosomal RNA". It matches the Rfam family "Bacterial small subunit ribosomal RNA", at positions 28 to 507 of the family's 1533-position model. The record is from RNAcentral.
GACGAACGCUGGCGGCGUGCUUAACACAUGCCAGUCGAACGGAAAGGCCCUGCUUUUGUGGGGUGCUCGAGUGGCGAACGGGUGAGUAACACGUGAGUAACCUGCCCUUGACUUUGGGAUAACUUCAGGAAACUGGGGCUAAUACCGGAUAGGAGCUCCUGCUGCAUGGUGGGGGUUGGAAAGUUUCGGAGGUUGGGGAUGGACUCGCGGCUUAUCAGCUUGUUGGUGGGGUAGUGGCUUACCAAGGCUUUGAGGGGUAGCCGGCCUGAGAGGGUGACCGGACACAUUGGGACUGAAAUACGGCCCAGACUCCUACGGGAGGCAGCAGUGGGGAAUAUUGCACAAUGGGCGGAAGCCUGAUGCAGCAACGCCGCGUGCGGGAUGACGGCCUUCGGGUUGUAAACCGCUUUCGCCUGUGACGAAGCGUGAGUGACGGUAAUGGGUAAAGAAGCACCGGCUAACUACGUG